GGGCCCAUAGCUCAAUGGCAGAGCUACCGGCUCAUAACCGGUUGGUUCCAGGUUCAAGUCCUGGUGGGCCCACCA
Molecule: transfer RNA, 75 nt
Filed under: Bacillota bacterium
Lineage: Bacteria; Bacillati; Bacillota
Description: Firmicutes bacterium (anaerobic digester metagenome) tRNA-Ile
Rfam family: tRNA
About the family: Transfer RNA (tRNA) molecules are approximately 80 nucleotides in length. Their secondary structure includes four short double-helical elements and three loops (D, anti-codon, and T loops).
Source: RNAcentral